Long non-coding RNA from Xenia sp. Carnegie-2017, 656 nucleotides. RefSeq lists it as uncharacterized. The transcript is spliced from 9 exons. Lineage: Eukaryota; Metazoa; Cnidaria; Anthozoa; Malacalcyonacea; Xeniidae. The record is from RefSeq and is a predicted model, not a curated record.
AACGCGGAACCACACCGAAACACGUUGUCUGCAAAGUUUGGUCUUUUUUCGCUAAUAAAGUCUUGUGUGUUUUUAUGGAAAAACCUUUGCAAGCCAUGGAAAGUAUUUCACUUUGGUGGAUGAAGUAGAAAAUUUAAAAUAUUUCUAAUGUUGAUGCUAUGGAAACAUGUGUCACAAGCACCUGAUGUGCAGAAACAUUUUACCCGUCGACUCUUUGGAAAUUCAUUAACAAUGUCCAUUUGUUAACAUUUGUAAGGAUAUUUUGUAUUGAAUUGUUUGGUGUCGUCAACCUUGCACGAGAGGUCAUUAAUGCGUUCUUGAGAAUAAUCCAAUAUCUGGCUGACCCCCCUUGACAGAAAUCAUUGCUAUGCUUCUGGAAAGAGCGUUUAAAUCGAAUGUGGUUAUGUUCAAUAGCAUUCGACGUGUUUACAAUUCAUCACAAGAGGACAUGUACAUCAUUGAAAUAAUACACCUUACUUGGGAAAUACGGGAAGUUGUAAACAUAACAUGACAAAAGUGAUAACAAAUGUUGAAAUGUCAAUGUGUCACAACGUUACUUGACAACAAGAAGAAACGGAAGUUGGCGUCACGAAAAUUAUAAAAUUCUAUUGGCGGAGAGUCGGCGAAAGACGAAAAGACGUCGUCGCCGUCGGAAA